AGCGAACGCUGGCGGCAGGCCUAACACAUGCAAGUUGAACGAUCCUUCGGGAUAGUGGCGGACGGGUGAGUAACACGUGGGAACGUGCCUUUUGGUUCGGAACAACUCAGGGAAACUUGAGCUAAUACCGGAUGUGCCCUUCGGGGGAAAGAUUUAUCGCCAUUAGAGCGGCCCGCGUCUGAUUAGCUAGUUGGUGGGGUAAAGGCCUACCAAGGCGGCGAUCAGUAGCUGGUCUGAGAGGAUGAUCAGCCACAUUGGGACUGAGACACGGCCCAAACUCCUACGGGAGGCAGCAGUGGGGAAUCUUGCGCAAUGGGCGAAAGCCUGACGCAGCCAUGCCGCGUGAAUGAUGAAGGUCUUAGGAUUGUAAAAUUCUUUCACCGGGGACGAUAAUGACGGUACCCGGAGAAGAAGCCCCGGCUAACUUCGUGCCAGCAGCCGCGGUAA
This 447-nucleotide ribosomal RNA is filed under the name uncultured bacterium. RNAcentral's name for it is "partial 16S ribosomal RNA". It matches the Rfam family "Bacterial small subunit ribosomal RNA", at positions 29 to 523 of the family's 1533-position model. The record is from RNAcentral.